RNAcentral lists this ribosomal RNA (1632 nucleotides) under Triticum aestivum (bread wheat). RNAcentral's name for it is "partial small subunit ribosomal RNA". The record is from RNAcentral. Lineage: Eukaryota; Viridiplantae; Streptophyta; Magnoliopsida; Poales; Poaceae.
AUGUUUGAGCACUAUCAUAUUGCUAACAGGAUAUUUCAUAGUGAGGAUGAAGAUUAUAGAUUCUAUAACAAAUAUGCUCUUUAGAAAGGUUUAAGUGUGCGGAGAAGCUAUAUUGAGUGGGAUGGAUCCAACAAUCAUAUAAUUUUGAGGAAAAUUGCUUGCAGUCGUGAAGGUGAAGAGAAGCGCAUGCAGAGGAAGAUGGAAGAUAGAAAGAGGAGGCCACGUAAUAUAACUCGUGUUAGGUGUAAAGCUAAAUUGGUCAUUGCAAGAUAGGAGUAAAUAGGUCGAUGGUUUGUGAAGGAUUUAAUCGAUGAACACAACCAUCCUCUAGCCCCACGGGACCUUUCGUGUCUUUUAUGUUCACGCAGAAGAAUUAGCGAUGAGCGGAAAGCAGACAUUGCAGACAUGAAAAAAUGUGUGAUCCGCGAACACCAUAUUUUAGAUGUUUUGUGCAUGCAAUACGGUGGAUAUGAUCAGGUUGGAUGCAUGAGGAGGGACAUUUACAAUUUCUGCCAUGCUAGUAAGCAGGAAUCAAUCGCAACCGGUGAUGCUCAAAUGAUGAUCAGUCACAUGAUGGCGCAGCGAGAGUAGGAUCCAGAUUUUUUCUUCAAGUACUUGCUUGAUGAACUUGGCUGUCUAAAGGGACUGUUCUGGUCUGAUAGUCAAUCCCAACUUGACUACGAGGCUUUCAGAGACGUUAUUGUUUUUGAUAGCACAUACAGAACCAAUAAGUACAAUAUGCCAUUUGUGUCGUUUGUUAGGUUGAAUCACCACCACAACACUAUUAUUUUCGGAUGUGGUAUCAUUUAUCAUGAAACAAGCCAUGAAUACAAGUGGAUGUUGCGGAGCUUUUCUGAUGCCAUGGGACAGAAGAAUCCGAUAUCUGUGAUCACAGACGGGGACCCUGCAAUGCAGAGUGCAAUCAGGGUGGUCUGGCCUGACUCAAACCCCAUGUUGUGUAUAUGGAACAUUCAGUAGAACAUUGUAUGUCAUCUGCAUGAUGACGCGGUAAAGGAGGAACUCAAAUAUUUCAUAUAUGAUUAAUCUUCCAUUGAAGAGUAUGAGAGAAAAUGGAUAAAAUUCUUACAACAGAAUAAAGUAACCAGUGAGGAGUCCAAGCUGUAUCAGAUGAGAAAGUUGUGGUGUUCUCCAUAUCUUGAAGGGUGUUGUUUCCUAGGUUUGAGUAGUAAUCAGCAGAAUGAGAGCUUGAACUCUGUGUUACAUACGCAUCUUGAGGGUAAAAUGAUGUUGUUUCAAAUGCUAAAGCACUAUGAGUGAUGCCUUGCGUCGUGACACUUGAACGAGUCUCUCCAAGACAUCGAGGCCUUGAAGUCGAUUUCAUUUAGAGAGGAAAAUGCUUCAGUUAUUGAGAAACAUGCCACAAAAGUUUUCACUCCUACUGUAUUUAAAUUGGUUUUAUAGAGCAUAAAUAUUGUCAACCAAUAUAUGACCACAGAGGUACUAGGCGCAUCAGAUGUUACCACCUAUGUUCUGUCUAAGAAGGAAAGAAUGGAUAAAAAGUUCAAAGUGCACAACGAGGAGCAGGAAGGUCUUUUGCACAUAAUCAGUUGUUCUUGCCAUAAGGUGGAAUGCGCAGGCAUACCAUGCUCUCACAUUUUUACACAUUGGUAA